RNAcentral lists this ribosomal RNA (253 nucleotides) under uncultured bacterium. RNAcentral's name for it is "partial 16S ribosomal RNA". It matches the Rfam family "Bacterial small subunit ribosomal RNA", at positions 524 to 776 of the family's 1533-position model. The record is from RNAcentral.
UACGUAGGGUGCAAGCGUUAAUCGGAAUUACUGGGCGUAAAGCGUGCGCAGGCGGUUGUGCGAGACAGAUUUGAAAUCCCCGGGCUCAAACUGGGAACUGCAUUUGUGACUGCACGGCUGGAGUGCGGCAGAGGGGGAUGGAAUUCCGCGUGUAGCAGUGAAAUGCGUAGAUAUGCGGAGGAACACCGAUGGCGAAGGCAAUCCCCUGGGCCUGCACUGACGCUCAUGCACGAAAGCGUGGGGAGCAAACAGG